CAGUAGCCACGGUAAUACGAAGGGUGCAAGCGUUAAUCGGAAUUACUGGGCGUAAAGCGUGCGCAGGCGGUGAUGUAAGACAGUUGUGAAAUCCCCGGGCUCAACCUGGGAACUGCAUCUGUGACUGCAUCGCUGGAGUGCGGCAGAGGGGGAUGGAAUUCCGCGUGUAGCAGUGAAAUGCGUAGAUAUGCGGAGGAACACCGAUGGCGAAGGCAAUCCCCUGGGCCUGCACUGUCGCUCAUGCACGAAAGCGUGGGGAGCAAACAGGAUUAGAUACCCCCGUAGUCCCUGUCUCUUAUAC
This 301-nucleotide ribosomal RNA is filed under the name uncultured bacterium. RNAcentral's name for it is "partial 16S ribosomal RNA". It matches the Rfam family "Bacterial small subunit ribosomal RNA", at positions 509 to 807 of the family's 1533-position model. The record is from RNAcentral.